UGGCAGGCUCUAUCUUUCCACUCAGACACAAGGCUGAUCUUGCUGGCCCAACACUUCCCAUUUAAGAGCUUCUUUCUUAAAAUAUUUGCUUAACAAACUUAAACUGUUAGAAAACUUUUAUUUUUGUUUUUCCUGGGAGGAAAUGUUAAAAGGCUGCAGUACUAUAGAAUAUUUUUAAGUAUUUCCCCAGAAUCACAACUUAACAUUAAUCCAGAAAAACUGUGAUAACCAAAAUACUCCAGGACAGAGAUAACCUACUAAUUAUAUUCUCUUGGAAGAUAAAUGUUAAAAACUUAAGUGUACUUGGAGCUCCAACUUGAAUUAUUAAAAUCUUUAAAGAAUGUAGAGUUCUCCUUCCCCAUGCUGACUGGGCCAUAAGAGGAGUCUUCACACUGAACUCUGAUGUGAGUCCCUGAAGGAUACAAUCUGUAGAAGAAAAAAAAAGUGGCCACACAGUCCCAUAUUCUGAUGAUAGGCUGCUGGCUGCAGUGCUGUUUCCAACUGUUUCCUGGUCCUCCCUGCUUUGCCAGUGGCCAUAGUGAACUUGCUGAUGGACGUAAAUGCAACUUGAAGGAGUUUGUUUAUAUGGUGAGUUACAUUCAUUGAUUUACAUGUGUUGAACCAACUCAACAUUCUGGGGUGAAGACUACUUAAUCAUGGUGGAUGAUCUCUUUGAUGUGUUCUUGAAUUUUGUUUCCUGCAUGUGAUGAUGAUGGACCUGUUACGAGAAUCAAACCAGUUUACCUAGCUGGUGGCUAUGACAUGGACUGAUGAUAAGGAAUAAACCCGAGAGAUACAAAUAGUUGCAUCACAGACCAUGUCAUUGGGUCAGACCUCCAGCUGCCUGGAGAUGAUAGUGCUAUGAAGACCAAACAUAGAAGACAGCCCAGGUCAUAAAAACACACACUGGAGUCUCAGAUGAUGAUGCAGGCUGUCCAGGAGACAGUGAUCAGAAUCAGUUCCAGAAUGGGGAAGACAAUCUCCAGGAUGAGCACCAAAUGGGCCAAUGGAAUUCCUGUCCUUUAUAAAGGUCUUAGUUGUCUUUGGUGAGGUAGACCAGAAAGCCUAGCAGGGCUACAAGGAGGAUGGUGAUGCAAAUGGUGUGGGUGGCCUACAGUUCUUGAGGCAGAGCCAGCAGAAGACUCUGUAGUGAGCCAUGCUCUGGACCAGGCAGGACAUAUACAAUCCUUCUGUGCCAGCGAGCAUGGCACAAAUGCAACUGCUGAGGCAGUCACCUUCCUCAAGUGUGGGUGCUGGAAAUUCACCUAGCUAAGUAGUGUCAGGAUCAUGCUUGGGAUUUUCAAAGCAAUGGAGACCUGCAAAGCUUGAGUGUAUAAAAAGGAAAAUAACCUGUGGGCUAGGUUGAAGAUGGAGGUAGGCAUCAUUCAACCAUCAUGUGCCUAAUUGAUGAAGCAGAAGAGACUCUGCUCUGCACAGCCUUCUCAAGGGGAAUGCUCUAGUGACCUGCUUUUUCAAGAUUCCAGGAGUAAGGAGGUUGGUGUGGUGGCAGUGGUAAGCCUGCUUACUCAUUUAGGGGACCUGGUGACUAAGGCAUGGCCCCUAGAGUCUAAAAGAGCUGUUCUGACCUUUGAUAUUUUACUUAACCUUUCUGGGCCUCAGUUUCCUACCCUACAAGAUAAAGGCAGCAAGAUUACAUUUUAUUUAUUUAAUUUGAACGUGUAUGGGUCUUUUACUGUAUGUAUCUAUGCUUGCACCUCAUGUGUGCAGUGCCAUGUAAGCCAGAAGAGGGUGUUGAAACCCCUGGAAAUGGAUUACAGAUUGUUGUUGUAAGCUACAAUGUGGGUGCUGGAAACCAAACCUGGCCCCAAGGAAAAGCAACUGGUGCCCUUAACUGCUGCUUUAUCUUCUUUAUCUUUCCAGCCCCAGCAAGAUUGCUUUUUUUUUCUCUCUGGUCUUUUCAGACAGGGUUUCUCUGUGUAGCCUUGGCUGUUCUGGAACUCACUCUAUAGACUAGGCUGGCCUCAAACUCACAGAGAUCCAUCUGCCUCUGCUUCUCAAGUGCUGGGAUUAAAGGCAUGUGCCACCACCAAGACUGCAUUUUAAUGUAUACAUUUAAUCAUAUCCUAAGAAGUGUAUUAAGCAGUACAUGAUAAAUCCUAAAUAAAUACUGUGAACUGUCUUAAUUAUUGUUGUUUUGCUGCUAUAUCCCCUGGACCCCUAAGAAACUUCGGUUGAUUCUUCUGAUGAGUUGUUUCAUGGCUGAGCUCCCUUCCAACUUCCUGCCAACCACAAUAUCUCCCACCACCCAUGGACUGGAACAUCUGUAGGAUGGUAUCC
This 2298-nucleotide long non-coding RNA is filed under the name Cricetulus griseus (Chinese hamster). RNAcentral describes it as "lncRNA (ENSCGRG00015036530.1)". Lineage: Eukaryota; Metazoa; Chordata; Mammalia; Rodentia; Cricetidae. The record is from RNAcentral.